CUUUUCAGCAGUUCAGCCGCACAGCUUCAAUCCCUCAACCUUCGCCCCUUCGCCAUGGCCGCCGCCGACGCCACUGCCACAGCUGCCGACAACGCCACCGCCAUAGCCACAGCUACCGACGCCACCGCCAUAGCCACAGCUCACACACCACCGCCACCGUCGUUUCUUCUGAUUAAGAGAGCACUGCGACGCUGCCGCUGCCAUCGCCUCCCCAUCGCCAGAGCCGACGCCUCCACCCCAGCCACCGCCGUCCACUCACCAGUCAUCACUCACGCUGUCACGCAGGCCGCAGCCACCACUCGCCUGACCACCGCUGAAGGCCACCGGCGACAAAAGAGGUUGAAGAGGUCAAAACAUGGUUUGAGUAGAGACUGAUAGCUAAAAUGGUACUGAUGUCAUUAUGAGAGAGGCAAACAUGACUUGCAUUUCAUUCAGUUUGUUUUUUCAGAUUUAGAAGUAUAACCAUCAAUUCAUGUGCUUGCCUUUAAAGAUGGAGGCUCUAGAAGUUGUUCUUUCUCAAGCUCUUGGCCAAGCAAGGCCUAUUACUGAUUUUCUACAUGAGAAUGGUAAAAUAUUUGUAUCUGAAUACUUAGGAUUGCUAUGCUUUAUUGCAUGAGAUAGUGAAAAACUCAAGGAUGCCUCAUUACUAGCUGUUAAUGCUUUCUGGUUUAGAUAAGUUCAUUUCAAAGUAAUCAUUUGAAUUCAUCUCAUCAAGUAAUGAAAAGCUCAAAAUUUUGCCUUUAAUUAUCUUUGUACCCUACACUAGAAAUUUUAUAAUUCAUGAAUGGCUUAAUGUUUGGCUUCUAACACUAAACUGCAUGUCAAUGUUAUGUUUUGUACUAUUAUUUAAUUCUCUAAAUGAGGGAUGAUUUAUUAUUAACCUUGCAGUGAUAUGUAAUGCUUUAAAGUUAUGUUUUCAUUAUUGAUGAUUUAUUAUCCCUGAGGUGCUUUCCCUGCCACAUAAUAUAUAAUGUUUCCUUGAUUUUAUGUAUCUACUCUAAUGAUUUUAUACCUUCUAAUACUUCCUUUUGAGUAGGGAUUAUCCUCUAUAUGAAUUCUACUUGUUUACUUUUCUUUCAAGGAAGUUAGUCUAUUUAGAAGUUAAAAUCUGUGUAGCACAUUUUAACUAUUUGUUUGUUGCCGGACUUGGAUAUUUCUCAAGUCCAUAUUGCAGGGUGUUGAUGAGCCGACUGUUCGUAGUCUUAAUGGAUGCAGAGUUACUGAUCAAGUUUUGCAUUUAGUUCCUAAUAUUCAGUUCUUUAAUGGCUGCCAUAACAUGCCUUGUUGGAUUACAUUAUGGGCACAUUCUUAUUCAGGUCAAGGGUCACAAGCAAAGGAUAAUAUUAUGGUCCAUAUUCUCCUUCCCACUACUGAUUGUAGGUUAAAAAAUGACCAUGGACAAAUUUUUGAUAUAGUUCUUUAUUUAAAGAGCUUAAAGUGCUUAAGAACAUAGGGCUCCUACAUUUUCCUAUGCUCAUGAUUUUACUCCCCUCUUCACUUAAAUCCUAUUUGUCUAUAUUCAAUUUUCAACCAAGGGGUCCUUUGCUCUAUGGGAUUUUAGGUACAAUAACAGUAGUGGCCAAAGACUUUGUAGCUUUCAAUUAUUUUUAAUUUGGAACUGUAAAUUUGUAAUUUCAUGGAUUAUUUUUUAGUUUUUACAGUGAGUGAAGUACACUGUAAUUGGAAUUGUAAUGGUGUUUCUGUAAUUGGAAUUGUAAUGGUGUUUCUGUAAUUGGAAUUGUAAUGGUGUUUGUAUUGAGUUGAGAGUUACAAUGUAUAAAAAGGAAUAUUUUUGUCUUUUUU
Molecule: RNA transcript, 1803 nt
Organism: Ipomoea triloba (trilobed morning glory)
Lineage: Eukaryota; Viridiplantae; Streptophyta; Magnoliopsida; Solanales; Convolvulaceae
Gene name: poly(A) polymerase PAPalpha-like
Exons: 6
Source: RefSeq, a predicted model, not a curated record